This 500-nucleotide ribosomal RNA is filed under the name uncultured Gemmatimonas sp. Its description in RNAcentral is "bacterial SSU rRNA". It matches the Rfam family "Bacterial small subunit ribosomal RNA", at positions 9 to 522 of the family's 1533-position model. Lineage: Bacteria; Pseudomonadati; Gemmatimonadota; Gemmatimonadia; Gemmatimonadales; Gemmatimonadaceae. The record is from RNAcentral.
GAGUUUGAUCAUGGCCAGGACGAACGCUGGCGGCGUGCUUAACACAUGCAAGUCACGGGGGCCCGCAAGGGUAACCGGCGAACGGGUGCGUAACACGUGAGCAAUCUGCCGUCCACUGGGGGAUAGCCGGCCCAACGGCCGGGUAAUACCGCAUACGCUUGCCGGGUGGCAUCACUUGGCAAGGAAACCUCCGGGGGUGGACGAGGAGCUCGCGGCCUAUCAGCUAGUUGGUGGGGUCACGGCCCACCAAGGCGAUGACGGGUAGCUGGUCUGAGAGGAUGGCCAGCCACAUUGGGACUGAGAUACGGCCCAGACUCCUACGGGAGGCAGCAGUGGGGAAUAUUGCGCAAUGGCCGCAAGGCUGACGCAGCGACGCCGCGUGGGGGAUGAAGCAUUUCGGUGUGUAAACCCCUGUUGCCCGGGACGAACCUCCCCUUUCGAGGGGACUGACGGUACCGGGUGAGGAAGCACCGGCUAACUCCGUGCCAGCAGCCGCGGUA